GUAUGUGGGUAUCAUUCUACCUGGGGACCUUAUGGCUUUUGAGUAGGAAACCAAGCCAGACUCAAAUCCUGUUUAUCAACAUAAAAAUAACCUCUCCUUAAACCGAGACUUGUUUGGCACAGAUUGGAUAAAAACAAAUUAGAAAAAUGAAUGGGCAGUGCUGAAGCUUUCCAAAGACUUUUCCAGCAAAGACUAAAACUUCUCAAAAACAAAAACUGCUUGUAGGAAUUUCUAUUGGGAAAGUUUCUCAAUGUAAGGAUGGAAUUCUAAUGACAAGAGAGGUUCUCCACAACGUGAGAGCUCUGACUGUAAGAAGAGGAGCUUGGCUCCCACACUGGCCAAAACUGAAAAUCUGAAAAAUUAGGACAAGCAUUACAGGUGACAGGUCUUGAACUGACAUGAGGUGGGUGGGUAAUGUCAGUCUGAAAGACUUUUAGUGAUGUGACAACUCUGUGAACACUCUGUGGUUAAGAAGAAGAAGCUGUUGUUGAGUAUAAAUGAGGAAAAGUGGCCUGUUAGUGAAGGGCUAGAAAAACAACAUCUGCAGCAACACACUGAACAAUAAGUGAAGGGACACCCACACAUUUAUUUUUUUUCAAGGCCAAAGGAAAGAACAUUGUAAUUAAUGAGAUGCUAAGUGGUCAAAUGGAAUGUAUAAUGAUAAUAGCACACACAUCAUUGUAUGCUCAAGGUUAUGCAGGAAGAAAAUGCAAAAAGUAGGCAGGCUUCUGGGGAGGAUCUGAAAGAGCUGAAACUGAGGAGAUUUCCUGGGUAUAAAGCCAAGGGCUGACAUUAUUGCUCUAAGUACCAUAGAAAACAGGCAGAAAUGGAGCCCUUUCUUUGCUCUUAUUUAUCUUAUAAUGAUGACAGGACCACAGAGAGAUGAGUAAGGAUUUAAUUUUGGAUCAGCUAAAAUUCUAUGGCUCACUGAGUGUUGAGUUCAGUUUUAUGGACAAUGCUUGACUGCUAGCGGAAAAAAAAAAGGGGGGGGGGGAGGAGAAAGAAAGAAAGAAAAGAAAGAAAGAAAGAAAGAAAGAAAGAAAGAAAGAAAGAAAGAAACUACUAAAAAAAAGAGCCUUAAACAAGUCAGAUCCUCUUCUUCCAUUUACAUAUUCCUCCCCAAAAGCGGAAGAGGAAAAAAGAACAAAGAUUCUCUGAGAGAGAGGGUUAAUAGUAUACAAAGAAGGAGAAUGUCUGAAGGACAAAUAAUAUCCUCAUCAGUGGGAGCCCAUAAAUUGGAAUAUACUCCGAAUGGACAAAAAAUCGUCUUGUUCUUUCUGCUGAUGCUGGGAUCCGAACACAAGUGAGAGGGAAAACUAGACUCCUCAGUACCAGUAAGUUAACUUUCUUUCAGCACAUAAAAUUAACUUCAGUAGAAAUCAGGCAGCCAUGCAUGAGAGCAGAAUUUGGCCCAUACUGCAUUUUUUGUCAGUGUUUUAGUACAGUUCAUACGAUACUCUUUUGCUCUCUUCAUCUGUGACCCAAAACUGUUUUUUGUCAGUGUAAAACUUAUUUUUACAGUUCUAGUAAGAUUUAAUAUGGACCCUUCCUUAAAGAGAUAAUUUGCUUUGUUCUGUCAGAUUUCCACAAGCCUAAAAACAAUGUUUUUUAGUGGGCAUGUAAUUAAUAAUUUUAUUGCUUUACAUAUUUUUAUUGGACCUUUAUGCUGCAGAAAGGUAUAUUAACUCAUUCAAUAAAUACUUCAAGCUGUUAUUUCA
This 1718-nucleotide long non-coding RNA is filed under the name Anas platyrhynchos platyrhynchos (common mallard). RNAcentral describes it as "lncRNA (ENSAPLG00000023637.1)". The record is from RNAcentral. Lineage: Eukaryota; Metazoa; Chordata; Aves; Anseriformes; Anatidae.